ACAAAAGCAACAGCAAAAAUAAUUAAUUAAAAACUGCGGUAGAUGGUUUGCUUCCAUACAUGUGCAGUAUAAACUUGUGCAUUUGUUCCGUGCCCACAGACAGGUUUCUCCUCCAAUUUUCUGGAGUGGAUUCAGGGUUGUGGUAAAGUACCAGUGAAAAUGAGGCUGUAAAUAUCCCUUAAUGAUACACAGAAAAGAAUUUAAAUUACCAGAAGGAGACACUAGAGACGUUAAAAAGUGCUGUAAAAUUACUCCUAAAUCAGGGAAUCUCCCUGAUAUAGCAUCUAUGUCCCAGGUGGAAAGCCCAUUUUCCAUACAUUUGAAGUCUCUCCUUGGUGUGGGGGUGGGCGUGGGGGUGUGCGCACGCAUACAGGAUAGUCAUGGGUGCAUUAAAGAGGUGUAUUUCCAUGAAAACUUAGAUUAAUAUGAUUGGGGCUAAAUUACGGGUAGGAUAAGAAGUUAACACCCUAACCUGGAGGAUGAGUAGGGAAAGCAGUAACUUUUCUGAUGAUCUCAGAUAACAGAGAAGUGUGACACUUCAAAAUGUCUUGUCCUCACACUGGGAACACAGGACAGGACAGAAUCUAUCUAGGAGACUGGGGGGCAGCAGUACUGAAACUCCCUUGGCAGGUUGAAGUUUGUGUUGUGGGGGGCGGGGGAGCCUUCAUGCACAUUAAUGAUUUGGAGAGAGGGGACUUCUUACAUUUUUAGUUUGUACCUCUGUCCAUCUCCACCCCCACCUUAUACACACAUUCGGAAUGGGAUAAGGGGACAGGGACUUGGGCGAGAUUGACUCAGAGAAGGUGAUGUAGAUGGGGUGGGACUUUCAGAUCAAUAGCCCCCUCUCCUCCCUUUUUCCACUGGCUGGAGUUAAUGCUUCUGCUGUUGCUGCUUUGUCAGUGUCAGUGUCUUCCUAGGCUCUGUGCAGUGCAAUUCCAAUUUCCCUAGAGCAGCAGACUCCAGCAGCCAGUUCAGGACUUUACUUCCUUUUCGACAAGUGGCUGAUCCCUAGUGUUUCACGGGAUAGAGUAUUUGCUCUCACCACAGUAUCACUCUGAUAAAAAUUGGUGAUGACUUCAGAGCUGCUGUUUUACUGCUUCAUAACCAAAGCACUUACAUUUCCUUACUGCACCAGUGAAAUGAAAGUACCAGUGUGAAGCAUGGACUCUGUGUGUAGAAGAAGGUGGUACCUUCAGUUGGGCUGUAUAUUGAUAGUGAAUUUGGUUUAUGCCAAUCCAGAAUAUCAGAAAGAACCUCCUGGAAGCCUAGGUGAGAUUGACCAUCACUGCUGGGAGAUCUCCUCUCAUAGGCUGGUGGAAAUGAAGAAACUCAAGGUAGCAGAUGCUAUCAUUGCUCUCUGGGAUUUCAUGAUGUUCCUAAAAGAAUCACCAAAGGCCAAACAUAAUGAACUCUUCAAUGACUUAGCCCAGAACUUCUGGGAUAUGUAUGUAGACUGUGUGCUUUCAAGGUCCCAUGGAAUGGGCAGAAGACAAUUACUAUCUCCCAACUAUUUUUCCACAUACUCACAGAGAACUUCACAAGGGUCAGACUUCUCAAAACAUCAGUUUUAGGCCAAAACGGGAGAAAAAUGAAGAUACCUCAGCAAGAUGACAUCAAACUGAAGGAAAAGAGCCUGCUUGUCAAAAGCACAGCCUGUACUGUAGCUGCUUAUGAGCAAUGUUCCUUUGAUGGGUUUUGAGAUUUUGUUCUAUGCUGGACGAGCACAUAAUUGAUAAAUACUUCAGAUGUGUGUUACCAACAUGUUCCCCUUUCUUUAAAUGUACCAAGGUUGCCUUUCCCCACCACUGCACAUGUGAAUGCUUUAUGUAUUUUGAGUCAAUAUCUGUGUUCUCUCAGGUAAACCUAUCUGUUUAAACUAGUGUUAUAUUUUUGUAGACAUUCAUCUUUCAAAUAAUUCUUUUUUAAAAUGUUAACUGCAAUGGAAACCCAAUAUAUUUUUAUACAUUAAACAACAGAGUUCAAUGGCAACAAGCAAAUUUUAUACAGUAUCUUGCAUAUGAAAUGGAUUUCAGUUUUAAGAUCUGCAAAAAAGUACCAAUAUCAACCCAAAGGGACAGAUUAUGCUUGAUGUAGUGAUGCUUGAUGCUUAUGCAGCCUCUAAGUUUGUAUUUGAUCACUGCUUGG
Chelonoidis abingdonii (Abingdon island giant tortoise) is the source of this 2145-nucleotide non-coding RNA. NCBI's taxonomy places the organism in Eukaryota, Metazoa, Chordata, Testudines, Testudinidae. The record is from RefSeq and is a predicted model, not a curated record.